RNAcentral lists this long non-coding RNA (209 nucleotides) under Actinidia chinensis (golden kiwifruit). RNAcentral's name for it is "long non-coding RNA (ACHI_LNC008573)". The record is from RNAcentral. Lineage: Eukaryota; Viridiplantae; Streptophyta; Magnoliopsida; Ericales; Actinidiaceae.
AGCAGUGUCACUUAAUAUUGCGAGAAUACCUAAUAAUUUUUCGUUGUUAAAUGAAUAUUGCUCACCACCACCCUUUAAGCAAAUGGAUAAUACAACAUUUUAUGAAAAAUUAUAUUUUUUAAAAUUAUAAUCAAGGAUUAAAACCACUUGUUGGCCCUAAAUCAGUCAAUUAGAGUAUGUUUGGUAUCGUUUUUAUUUUUUUAUUUUUU